RNAcentral lists this ribosomal RNA (253 nucleotides) under uncultured bacterium. Its description in RNAcentral is "partial 16S ribosomal RNA". It matches the Rfam family "Bacterial small subunit ribosomal RNA", at positions 524 to 776 of the family's 1533-position model. The record is from RNAcentral.
UACGUGAGGGGCGAGCGUUGUCCGGAGUUACUGGGCGUAAAGGGCAUGCAGGCGGUCGGACGCGUUUCGGGUGACAGCGGGUGGCUUAACUACCCGAGCGGUCGAAAGACGGUUCGACUUGAGGACGCGAGAGGGACACGGAAUUCCGGGUGGAGUGGUGAAAUGCGUAGAGAUCCGGAGGAACACCGAAGGCGAAGGCAGUGUCCUGGCGCGUAACUGACGCUGAGGUGCGAAAGCCAGGGGAGCGAACGGG